CCUGGGGGUGCUGGACACCCCACUUUCCUUUUCUAUGGACCCCUCCCUCCUGGUGACUCAUUCUCUAUUUAUUCUUGUCCAGAAGAGGUCCUUGUCCAAGGGCCCAAGACAGAGCAGCAGGCCACGGACACCAGUUAGACUUCCCCGGGAGUCCUCAAGCCUCCUUGAGAGGCAGGUGGCCUGAAUCUCCAUGGUGAUUGUGUCCUUCAUGCAGGACCCUCGGCAGCAUUGCCUAUCUCUGGGCCUUGGUUUCCCAUCUGUACCCAGAGGCUCUGUAGAAGCGCUCUGGGAUGUUCUUUCUACUGAGGAAGGUGAAGCCAGCAGCCCACCUCUGGACACUGCAGAGCUGGGGCCCCUCUUCCUAGAGACCCAAGGCUGCUCCUGCCCCCAAAUCCUCCAGCUGCUCUGGGGGCCCAGAAUGGAGCCUUCUCCAGAAGCUGAGCAGAGCAGUUGUGCUCCCUGAGCCCCUAGCCAAGGACCCAGUCCUGGGCUGGAGGUUCACCUGCCUGGAUCCCAAACAGCACCCCAGCUGAGGCUGGGGCUUCCAAACAGCAACCUUCGGUCAGCUGGAUGCACCCAGAGCUCAGAGCAGCGUCCCAGGACUGAGUCUGAGACCCUGCUGAUGUUGCAGCCAGUGGGGAGAAAAGCAGCUGGAAACUCUUGGCUGUGCCGGCAUCGCAGAAUCUAGGUACCACUGCCCCCUUGUGGUGAUCUAGGAAUUCUCUGUGACUUGUCACCCAUGUCAGGACUCAGAGCGAGUCCCUGAACCAAAGAUGGAGAAAGCAAGUCUCAAGGGAGUACUGCCAGGAAAUGGAGAAGAAAAGACCAGAUUUAGUGUCUGGGGCAAGGCGUGUACGAGAUGAGAAAGAGAACACAGUACUGGAGGUCUCCUGACGCUGAAUACCCAUCACCUGUAAAAGUAGGGUUAUCAAAAAAACAAAAUAAAUCUGAUUGAGCCCCUAGAUCUAAUUACGCAGCAAUACACAGGAAAUUCAGAGAGGGGAACAUGUCGUCUACAAUGUGGGGGUGCACUUGGCAGUGACUAUGGGAAAUCCUUUCAGACAAAUGAUCUGGUUUCAGUAAAAAAUGAAUUAUAGGAAAAAAAAAAAAAAAAAAAGAUGGAUCUGGGUGUGGAGGUGCAUGCCUACUAUCCCAGAACUUUGGGAGGCUGAAUCCAGAGGUCUGCAAGUUUAAGCCUGGCCUGGACAACUUAAUGAGAUCCUAUCUCAAAAUAAAAAAUAAAACAAGGGGCUGGGGAUGUAGCUCAGUGGUAAAGCACCGCUGAGUUUCAUCCUCAGUACCACAAAAACAGAGAGAGAGAGAGAGAGAGAGAGAGAGAGAGAGAGAGAAUGGAAGGAAAGCAAAGGUUAAAUAAGAUUUGAGGACAUGUCAAAAAACAGGCAUCUGAAACCAUACAAAAGCAAAACCAUGGAAAUAAAAUACAGACAAACCAGAGGUCAGGAUGG
Molecule: long non-coding RNA, 1466 nt
Filed under: Heterocephalus glaber (naked mole-rat)
Lineage: Eukaryota; Metazoa; Chordata; Mammalia; Rodentia; Bathyergidae
Description: lncRNA (ENSHGLG00000041255.1)
Source: RNAcentral